Molecule: ribosomal RNA, 414 nt
Filed under: uncultured bacterium
Lineage: Bacteria
Description: bacterial SSU rRNA
Rfam family: Bacterial small subunit ribosomal RNA
Source: RNAcentral
UGAGGAAUAUUGGGCAAUGCCCGCAAGGGUGACCCAGCAACGCCGCGUGGAGGAUGAAUGUCGUAAGAUUGUAAACUCCUGUUAGAGGGGAAGAAUAGUACCGGUUGGACCGGUAUAUGACUGUACCCUCAGAGAAAGCCCCGGCUAACUACGUGCCAGCAGCCGCGGUAAUACGUAGGGGGCAAGCGUUGUCCGGAUUUACUGGGUGUAAAGGGCGCGCAGGCGGGAUAAAAAGUCAGUGGUGAAAUCCUACAGCUUAACUGUAGAACUGCCUUAUGUACUUGUAUUCUUGAGUUCGGGAGAGUGAGACGGAAUUCCAGGUGUAGUGGUGAAAUACGUAGAUAUCUAGUAGAACACCAGUUGCGAAGGCGGUCUCUUGGUCCGACACUGACGCUGAGGCGCGAAAGCGUGGGG